RNAcentral lists this ribosomal RNA (166 nucleotides) under bacterium. RNAcentral describes it as "partial 16S ribosomal RNA". It matches the Rfam family "Bacterial small subunit ribosomal RNA", at positions 50 to 212 of the family's 1533-position model. The record is from RNAcentral.
CUAUACAUGCAGUCGAGCGAUCGAUGGGAGCUUGCUCCCUGAGAUUAGCGGCGGACGGGUGAGUAACACGUGGGCAACCUGCCUAUAAGACUGGGAUAACUUCGGGAAACCGGAGCUAAUACCGGAUACGUUCUUUUCUCGCAUGAGAGAAGAUGGAAAGACCGUU